Molecule: ribosomal RNA, 856 nt
Filed under: uncultured bacterium
Lineage: Bacteria
Description: bacterial SSU rRNA
Rfam family: Bacterial small subunit ribosomal RNA
Source: RNAcentral
UACGGAAGGUCCAAGCGUUAAUCGGAAUUACUGGGCGUAAAGCGCGCGUAGGUGGUUUAUUAAGUUGGGUGUGAAAGCCCCGGGCUCAACCUGGGAACUGCAUCCAAAACUGAUUCACUAGAGUACGAAAGAGGGAGGUAGAAUUCACAGUGUAGCGGUGGAAUGCGUAGAUAUUGUGAAGAAUACCAAUGGCGAAGGCAGCCUCCUGGUUCUGUACUGACACUGAGGUGCGAAAGCGUGGGUAGCGAACAGGAUUAGAUACCCUGGUAGUCCACGCCGUAAACGAUGACAACCAGCUGUUGGGAAGCAAUGCUUUUCAGUGGCGCAGCUAACGUCUUAAGUUGUCCGCCUGGGGAGUACGGCCGCAAGGUUAAAACUCAAAUGAAUUGACGGGGACCCGCACAAGCGGUGGAGCAUGUGGUUUAAUUCGAUGCAACGCGAAAAACCUUACCUACUCUUGACAUCCUUGGAAUCUCUUGUAAUGAGAGAGUGCCUUUUGGAACCAAGUGACAGGUGCUGCAUGGCUGUCGUCAGCUCGUGUCGUGAGAUGUUCCGUUAAGUCGGAUAACGAGCGCAACCCUUACCCUUAUUUGCCAGCGGUUCGGCCGGGAACUAUAAGGGGACUGCCGGUGAUAAACCGGAGGAAGGUGAGGACGACGUCAAGUCAUCAUGGCCCUUACGAGUAGGGCUACACACGUGCUACAAUGGGAAGUACAGAGGGACGCCAAAGCGCGAGCUGGAGCUAAUCUCAUAAAACUUUUCGUAGUCCGGAUUGCAGUCUGCAACUCGACUGCAUGAAGUCGGAAUCGCUAGUAAUCGCGGAUCAGCACGCCGCGGUGAAUACGUUCUCGGGUCU